This 235-nucleotide ribosomal RNA is filed under the name uncultured prokaryote. RNAcentral describes it as "partial 16S ribosomal RNA". It matches the Rfam family "Bacterial small subunit ribosomal RNA", at positions 524 to 758 of the family's 1533-position model. The record is from RNAcentral.
UACGUAGGUGGCAAGCGUUGUUCGGAAUUAUUGGGCGUAAAGGGCGCGUAGGCGGUCUUGUAAGUCAGCUGUGAAAGCCCGGGGCUCAACCCCGGAGGGUCGGCUGAUACUGCAGGACUGGAGUACGGAAGAGGUAGCUGGAAUUCCCGGUGUAGCGGUGAAAUGCGUAGAUAUCGGUAGGAACACCAGUGGCGAAGGCGGUUUCCUGGGGCACUCUUGACGCUGAGGCGCGAAA